Molecule: small nucleolar RNA, 124 nt
Organism: Mesocricetus auratus (golden hamster)
Lineage: Eukaryota; Metazoa; Chordata; Mammalia; Rodentia; Cricetidae
Source: Ensembl
UGCACUUGUGUGUAUGUUUGUUUAACUGUGGACAAAGAUUAAAAGCAGGUGUAAAACGCAAAUGGUCUUUUUCAUCUCAGAACUCACUCUUCAGUAUGUUUUGAUACAAAUAAAAAGUGAUAUA